Long non-coding RNA from Bos taurus (domestic cattle), 810 nucleotides. The record is from Ensembl. NCBI's taxonomy places the organism in Eukaryota, Metazoa, Chordata, Mammalia, Artiodactyla, Bovidae.
CUUUAAGCUCCACCUACCAUCGCCAGCCCUUCAGGUUCCUUCCUGCCUGUACACCGCCACCUCAGCCUCGGUCGUGGUGGGCCAGUCUGCAGGCCACCCCCUUCCAUUCCUGUCGUGGGGCCCACACCAGCAACUUCACAGACUCCUGUUCCCUGUGCAGCUGACAUCUCUGCCGCCCACACCCACACCCUGCGGUCUGCGCUGCCAACGGCAUCUCCUCGGCGACUCUAAGCUCGGCGGCUGCCACUUCCCCGUGGACAUCACUGCAGGCCCAUCACCGUCUGGUACAGUCUCUCCUGCCAUGUCUGCCACAGAGGAGCACGACUGGAUGCCAGGUGGCCUGGACAGGGCUGGUGGCAGGGCAGGCUGUGACCCCAGUCCCCUUGGGGUCCUGGCACCUGCUUGGGAGGGGACGGAUGUGGUUGAGGAGGCCGCGGCCCUUCUGCCCUCCCUGAGGGUGUCAGGAGGCCUUCGCAGGGGGCACGGUGGGCCACAGGCCACAAUGGAAGAGUGGGCUAUAGAGCCGUUAGAGGAGGAGGAGUCUCAUUUCGAGCUGGAGGCCCUGGAGGAGGAGGAGCACCUGGAGGAGGAGGAGCACCUGUUGGAAGAGAUCGAGGAGGAGGAGACAGUAGAGAAUGAUGAGAUUCCAGUCCCAAAGUCUGUAUUAUACUUCACAAAAGAAGCGAGUGAUUAUCAGUAUGAAGAGUCUGAUGAGGAGGUCCAAGAAGCUGAAGGUGAGGAGGAGGACAGCGAUAAAAAACCAGAAGAAGGACCUGGAAAGGACCUGGACCCAGCAGAGGACAGCCCGGG